UAAGGAAUAUUGGACAAUGGACGCAAGUCUGAUCCAGCCAUGCCGCGUGAAGGAUGACUGCCCUCUGGGUUGUAAAGCACUUUUGUCCGGAAAGAAAUCCUUGGCUCUAAUACAGUCGGGGGGAUGACGGUACCGGAAGAAUAAGCACCGGCUAACUACGUGCCAGCAGCCGCGGUAAUACGUAGGGUGCAAGCGUUAAUCGGAAUUACUGGGCGUAAAGCGUGCGCAGGCGGUUUGCUAAGACCGAUGUGAAAUCCCCGGGCUCAACCUGGGAACUGCAUUGGUGACUGGCAGGCUAGAGUAUGGCAGAGGGGGGUAGAAUUCCACGUGUAGCAGUGAAAUGCGUAGAGAUGUGGAGGAAUACCGAUGGCGAAGGCAGCCCCCUGGGCCAAUACUGACGCUCAUGCACGAAAGCGUGGGGAGCAAACAGGAUUAGAUACCCCUGGUAGUCCACGCCCUAAAGCGAUGUCAACUAGUUGUUGGGGAUUCAUUUCCUUAGUAACGUAGCUAACGCGUGAAGUUGACCGCCUGGGGAGUACGGUCGCAAGAUU
Molecule: ribosomal RNA, 551 nt
Filed under: uncultured bacterium
Lineage: Bacteria
Description: partial 16S ribosomal RNA
Rfam family: Bacterial small subunit ribosomal RNA
Source: RNAcentral